CGUGUAGGCGGAUGGGAACGUCGGCGACUGAAAGCCCCCGGCUCAACCGGGGAAGUGGUGCCGAAACGCCCUGUCUGGAGGGACGUAGGGGGACCUGGAACUUCCGGUGGAGCGGUGAAAUGCGUUGAGAUCGGAAGGAACGCCCGUGGCGAAAGCGAGGUCCUGGACGUCUGCUGACGCUGAGACGCGAAAGCUAGGGGAGCAAACGGGAUUAGAUACCCCGGUAGUCCUAGCCGUAAACGAUGGGCACUGGGUAGGGGGCUCGCCGAUGGGCUCUCUGCCGUAGCAAAGGCGUGAAGUGCCCCGCCUGGGGAGUAUGGUCGCAAGGCUGAA
RNAcentral lists this ribosomal RNA (333 nucleotides) under uncultured bacterium. RNAcentral's name for it is "bacterial SSU rRNA". It matches the Rfam family "Bacterial small subunit ribosomal RNA", at positions 568 to 898 of the family's 1533-position model. The record is from RNAcentral.